Molecule: long non-coding RNA, 2977 nt
Organism: Sapajus apella (tufted capuchin)
Lineage: Eukaryota; Metazoa; Chordata; Mammalia; Primates; Cebidae
Exons: 2
Source: RefSeq, a predicted model, not a curated record
CUUGAACUCUUGAGCUUAAAAGGUUCUUCUGCCUCAGCCUCUCAAAUAGCUGGGACUACAAGUAUCGUUCCACCUUGCCUAACUAAAAAUCUUAAUGCCCGAGCUUCACCCCAGGCUAUUUAAAUCAGAAUUUCUUUAGGUUGGCCCAGGAAUAAGACAUUUUAAAGUUUCAUAGGCAAUUCCAAUGUGCAGUCAAGACUGGAGAUUGUUGGUGUAGAGGUAUGGCAGUGGAGCUGCAUCGGGUAGAUUAACCUAAAAUAUAUCUUACAGGUUCAACAGACAGGAGUUGCUGAUAGAUUGAAUUUCAGUGGGAAGUGGUAAGAAAAGGACUCAGUUUUUUGGCUUUCAUAAUUGAAUUGUCGUUUACCAAGACAGAAAAGACUGAACAUUGAGAAAGAAAAUCAAGAGUUCUGUUUUGAGUAUGUUGAGUUUGAGAUGCCAAUAAAUCAUUCAGGUGAAGAAUGACUCCAUUUAAGUGGAGAAUCCAGCUAUGAUUGAGCCUGGAGCUCAGAGGAAAGAUCUCUGUUAGAGAUGAAACUGAGUUGAUGGCAUAAAGUAGGACUUAAAGUUAAGAACCAAUUGAGUUCAUGUUGGGAGACCAUAAAUAAAGAGAAAGAGCCUUUGGCUGAGGCUUGAGGAACUCCAGGGGAGGAUUAUGAUGAGGGAGAAAGAACCUGCAAAAGAGACUGCAAAGCAGCCAGUGAGGUAAGCUAUUGUGAUGUUCCUGAAGCCAAAAGAGAGGUAGUGUCUCUAGAAGAAAGCUGCAGCUAGCUGGGUUGAAAAUGACAGCUGUCAAGUACAGUGAGGUCAGAAAAGUAUUGAAUUUAGCAAGAUUAUUGCUGUUGAUGCGCUUGAUCAUUUGAAGUGAUGGAGGUGGAAGUCAGAUUGGAGUAAUCUGAGAAAAGUAAUGUCAGAGAAAACAUUUAAAAGGAAGCGUAAAUGGGAGGUGAGGAAAGUACAUAUUGCCAACGUUUUUGAGAUUAGGGGGUUCUGUUUGUUUGUUGUGAAUGUAGCAGGAAAAAAAAUGGAGCUAAUAGGCAGAAGGGAAGGUAGAGCCAAGAAUAUGUGGGUUAUUUUUGUGUGUUUUGGUUUCAUUUUCUAAGCUAUUGAUGGGAAUGUUUCAGUCGAGAGACUAGGAGUGGUGUGAAGUUCUCGAGAAGGUAAGAGGGGAUAAGAUUCCUAUCAAAAAAUGGGGUGGCUUUGAAGAGAACAGGAAUACUUCCAUUUUAGAAAAGAUGUGUGUAGGUGCAGACAGAUUUGGGGGAGAAAAUGAAAAGUAGGAAGAAGGAGCCAGAGUCUUGGAGUGAACAAAUGGAGUGAAAGACAUGAGGAUAAACUCAGUAGGCCAUUCUUUUGACCAUAUAUAAUUCUGCCAUUAUCUGAUUUAUAUCUGACUUUGACUCAUUUCCUCUCUCUUCCUUGCUUGAUUUCAGAUGUACUCUGUUUUGGAGGGGAUAUCCUAAAUAUCACAGGGAACAUGCUUCUGGCACUCUGGAGAGUGGAACAAAACCAGCUGAGUGACAUCAUUACCUUGGUGGCAAAAUGCAGUCUGGAGAUACAGGAGAAAUUUGGGAUCUAUCAUACCAGAGAAGGCCAGGACCUGCAGUUAAAGAUAGGUAGUACCUCCUAAAAGAGUGAUCCAGUUGGCGGGGGGGGCAGAGGGGAGUACUCACUAUAAAAACCUCAAAAGAUAAAUGAUAAACCGGGAAAAAAAUAUUUGCAAUUCAUAUAAACAAAGGGUAAAUUGCGCUACUAGGGAAAGAGCACCUAGAAAUUAAGAAAAGAAUAAUACUGUGUAAGAGAAAAAUGGACAAAGGACAUGAGUAAAUUAUAUAUAGACAAGGAAAUGCAUGUCUUUUAGCAUGUGAAAAGAUGAUCAACAUUCAUAAUAAGAAAAAUGCCAAUUGGAAGUACAUUGACUACCUGUCGUUUACCUAUAGAUAGGCAAAACUUCAGAUGCUGGACAACAUACUCUUAGGUGAGUCUGUGAGGAAUGAGCUUUUUCAUACUGUGAGUGAACAAUGGUAUAAGGGUGAUUUGGCAAUCUUUAUUGUAUUUAUUUUUAUUUUUAUUAUUGUUUAUGUCAACAAAAAAUUAUAUAUAUAUUAAAAAGUCUUGUUUUCACUUACAUACCACCCUUACACUCUUACAAAUGCAUUAUUCCUUAACCUGGCAAUCAUGGACAUUUAUCCUAUAGGUAUACUUGCACACAUCUGAAAUCUUGCAUGCGCAAGGUUAUUGAUUGUAAUAUGGUUUGUAAUUUUUAAAAAAUUGAAAACAAUUUAUCUGUAGGAAACUGGUUAAGUAAAAAAUAUGUAUACUCAAUAAGAUUAUCUGCAACUUUUAAAAAAUAAGAUGUCUUGAUAUGGCAGUAUCUCCAAAAUAUAGUAAGUGAAAAAAGUAAGAUGCAAAACAGCAUGUUUAGUAUUCUAUCAUUUGUGUAUGGAGGAAAAAUAAGAAUUUUUAAAAUUUGUUUAUAUCUGUAUAAAGAAACAGUGGAAAAAUAUAUAAAAAACUAAUAAAUUACUAAUAUCAGGAAAAUAGUAAAGAUGUGCAUGUAGGUAGAAGCCAGAUUUUAAAAUAUACUUUAAUAUAGUUUACUUUUUGAACUAUGUUAUUGCUUGACAUAAUCAAAAAUAUGAUACAAUAUAAUAAAAAUUUAAAAGCUGCAUACAGAGGCCAAAGUUUCACCAAUGGCAGAGUCAGGAUUGGAGGGGAAACACAAUACACAAAGCUCCUUCACAAGUGUUCAGAAACGUCUUUUAAGGGCAAAAGUUGGCUCCAGAAAUUAUGUUUUGAGGAGCAGUGGUAAAGAAUUAUAUUCUAUGUUAUAUGGUAUCUCUUUUGUCCUACCAUCUUUUUUGUCUCUUUUGGUUUUUGUUUUAUUAAGGAUAAUUGAUACUAUACAUUGGCAUAUUUAUACACUUUUGAAACCAUCACCACAAUAAAGAUAGUGAACAUAUUUGUCACUCAAAAA